AUGUGGGGGCACACUAAGGACUUGGGGACCACCCGAUGGACCUGGAUCUUCUGGGGACCUGGCAUCACCCCAAGGGGCUUGGGGCCACCGCGGGAAUGCAGGACAGCUGUCACCAAGGAUUUGGAACCAUCCCAAGGAUCUGGGACCUUCUUGGGGACCCAGGACCACCCCAAAGACCUGGCACCACCCCAAGGACCCAGCAGGAGUGUUCUCAAGGACUUGGGGCCACCCCAGGGAUGUGGGACCACCCCAGAGAGCCAAGACAAGUGUCCUCAAGGACCUGGGACCACCUCAAGGACUUGGGACCUUCUUGGGGGCCUCCAGUCACCAUGGGGACUGAGGACCACCCCAAGGACUCAAGGCCACCCUGCAGCCUCCUGCCCCAGGACAAGUGGCCCUAAGGAGCUGGGAUAUGUGGGUCCCCUGGGGGGCAGUGGGAUCACGGCCUCCAUGCCCACGUGGCCUUUCCACUGCCACGUGGUUUCCAUCCAUCCGCACGAGGUCUCCAUCUCUGUCUCCACAUGGUCUCAUCCCCUUUUGGUCUCCAUCCACCUUUCCAUUCCUACAUGGUCUCCAUUGCCACCUGAUCUCUGUCUGUCUCCAGCCCCAUGUGGUCUGCAUCCAUCUAUCUGCAUGUGGUUUUUGCCCAUCUUUCCAUCCCCAUGUGGUCUCCAUCUUUCUCUCUGUUGCGCGUGCACACUCUCUCUUCAUCCCCACGUGGCCUCCAUCCCUCUCUCCAUCCAUCUUUCCAUCCCCAUGUGGUCUCCAUCUUUCUCUCUGUUGCGCGUGCACACUCUCUCUUCAUCCCCACGUGGCCUCCAUCCCUCUCCAUCUUUCUGUCUCCACAUGGUCUCCAGCUAUCCCUCUGUCCAUGUGCCCCACACAAGAACCGUCCCUCCAGCCCCACGCGCUCCUGUCCACCCAGGCUGCACCUGGCCUGCCCAGAAAGCCACUGGUGCCCCGGUGUUUCCUUCUUGUCUCCGCUAGAGGGUGGUGAGAUCCAGCACUUUCCCUUUCAAGACCUAUUUUUGAGGGUUUUCCGCUCGUUUCAGCUGGCACGGCGCUCCUGGCCCCGUCCCCGGCUGCCAGGAGGUGGUUUCGGGGCACCCCUCGUUCUCAGGGCUCUUCCUGAAGGAACAGAUCCCUUUGUUGGAGGACCAGGUCCCUUUCUCCUCCUCUCCAUCCCCCCAUCCUCACGCACCUCCGCGCUCUCCCUCCAUCCGCGUUCGCCGCUGCCGCCCUUCUGCGGCUCCGUGCCGUCACCCGCCUGUAGGGGCACCGGGGGGGGGGGGGGGGCGUGGGGGGGCGCGCGGCCCGUCGGGGGCGGGGCCCCUCUAGGGGCGGGGCCUCGGACGGGGGCGGGGCGAUCGCGAGCUCUCCG
Molecule: long non-coding RNA, 1381 nt
Filed under: Struthio camelus australis
Lineage: Eukaryota; Metazoa; Chordata; Aves; Struthioniformes; Struthionidae
Description: lncRNA (ENSSCUG00000005703.1)
Source: RNAcentral